Molecule: long non-coding RNA, 392 nt
Filed under: Lathyrus oleraceus (garden pea)
Lineage: Eukaryota; Viridiplantae; Streptophyta; Magnoliopsida; Fabales; Fabaceae
Description: Pisum sativum (pea) long non-coding RNA (PSAT_LNC027324)
Source: RNAcentral
AUAAAUCCUAAAGGGAUACUAGGUUAAAAUUCAAAGAGACAAAAGAGACUUGAAAAAAACUGUAGGAGUUGAAUUUAUAAAAGAUUUCAUUCACUUCAACAACUCUAUAGCAAUUGUUUUCUCUUCUCUUUUAUCUUUUUAUUCUUUUUUUUCAGAAGGAGUAUGUAUUGAUUGACAUCCUUCUAUUUUUUUUCUUUCAUUUUUUUUUCUUUUCUAUUUUUCUUUUCUUUUUUUGUAAACUUCUGAAAUAUUACAAACAUAAUUAAUCAACCCCACACAACUCCAAAUAAGACUCUUGCACCCCUUUAAAUAGGACGAUAACAUUGUUUUUCACUUCUCAGUUUGUAAUGAGUUUUAAACAAAAAAGGGAUAAUAGGAUCAAGGGGGUUUCA